Phascolarctos cinereus (koala) is the source of this 2813-nucleotide non-coding RNA. The record is from RefSeq and is a predicted model, not a curated record. NCBI's taxonomy places the organism in Eukaryota, Metazoa, Chordata, Mammalia, Diprotodontia, Phascolarctidae.
CUCCCAGCAGCUUGUUGCCCCAGACAUUUAAAGCAGCUGCCCAAGCAGCCCGAGCAGCACAAGCAGCCGCUGCCGCUUCGUCGCCAUUGCCAGGGCACAGGCUAGGAUAGUGCCCAGUUUCCGGGGCCCCAGUAUCUGUCAAGAUGCGUUGUGCGCUGCUGCUGCUCCUCGCGGCCGGGGCUUUCUUUCUAGCCCCCGGAGUUUCCAGUUUGCCCACUGUAUCUGCAGAAGCUUGGCCUCCUGAUUUAUUGACCUCUAGUUAAAUGGACCAAGGUGGGAGGAAUUACUCUCCAGGAGGAUUUUAGGGCCUAGGAUUUGAGGAAUUCCCGGCCAAAUACAUAUUUCACAACCAUCUGAUUGUCAGUGAUUCUCUGCUAAACAUGAAGAGGUGGGGCCUAGCCAAAUUGACUCUUGGGCAAAUGGAGCUUGUCUGCCAGGGUUGGAAGAUUUGGACCUGUCAUCAUCAUCCUGGGAGUGUCCCAGAAAUAGCGGUGAUUGGUGGCAGUGGGCCAAGGACAAACUUUCAGGAGCCAAGGACAAACCAGAUAUGCUGAAGAAAGGCAGCUUUAAAACUCUGCCAGGGGCCCAGAAGACAGCUACAGCAUGGCUAAGGGGAACUUCAUGAGGAUCCCACUAAUUGAAGAAAUGAACUUCCAGUUGUAGUGUUGGCAGAUUGCUGCAGACUGUGUUGACUUUGAAGAAGACAGCUAGAAAGAGGAAAGACCCUAUACACAAGCAAAAGUCUUUGGCAACCUUAUUGAUGAGAUAGCAUGCCAUUCUGCUACUUGGGCAACAUGGCUGCCAUAUCUAGAGACCCAGCAUGGAGAUAUACUGACAUCUGAUGUUCUGGAGGCACCAGUUCCAGGUCAAACUAAAGCACUGCAAACUUGUAAACUGAUCCAUUCUACCUUAAAGUAAUGGACUGGGUUGCAACAUGGGAGUAAUUUUCAACUUCAGACUCUAACUACAGAAGGCCAGGAUAAGUUUUUAGUAAUGAGUCACCAGAAUGGAUUUCAUCCAUAAAUGUAGUAGCUAUUGUCACUGAAAUUUGUUUAAUUUCCAUAGAAUUACAAUAUUCAAGGAGAAUGGAAGACAUCAAGAUAAAGAAAAUGCUGAGCCGAUGAGGUUUUUAAUUCUUUGUAACAAGUUUAAAGAAAUGCCUUGAAAGGUCCUUGAAGUUCUGCUUCAAACAAUGCUGAAAGUUACAUCAUUUGGCCAACUUGCAGUACAGUCACCUGAGUCAGGGUGGCUAAUUUUAAAAAUAACAUUCUGAUUACAUGGGUAAGAGUCAAGCUGAGAACAGUGACAGGUCCCACAGAUAGCACAUUUUGUCAUUCGUUGAAAGGAAUUACAACUUUUUCUGGGAGCUAGAUACAGAAGAAAUUUCAGGCUUUAUAAUACUUGAUCUAGUCAUAUUCCUCCAAAGGCACCAAACCAACAUCUUCAGCUUUAAUAGUUCUGUACCAUGACUUGCCACUUUUUCAAUAACCUUGCGUUACUGUGAUACAAAGUGAAUUGUUAAUAAAUGGUAUGUAGUGGAAUUGUAAUACCAUGCGUUUAAGAAGACAAUGUAACAUAAUGGACGGUAUGCUGGCCUAAUCUGGAAUUAGGAGACCCGGGUUCAAAUCCCACCUUAGACACUUACUGGCUGUGUGAUCAUGGGCAAGUCACUUAAUCUGUAAGAAACUCAGUUUCCUCAUCUACAAAAUGGGGGUAGUGAUAUGUGUACUACCUAACUCAUUGCUAUGAAGAAAGCAUUUUUGCCAACAUUAAAAUGCUUUGUGAAGGUGAGUGAUUACGACUACUGUAAUCUUUUAGUAUGGUGUGGCACAGUGCAUAUUGUGAAAAGGGAACAAUAUGUCAGAAACUAAGGGGCUAUGAGUUCUACCUUAAGCUUUGCCACUUAUAGACUGUAGCUUGCUUUAUGUCUCUCAGCGUCUUUACCUGUACAGUGGUGAGGAACACUACCAACCUUUCACACCUGGUGGAUAUGAAGAAAAGGUCUUAGAAAUGAUAUAGAUUUUUAUCAAAUGACCUCAAUAAAGCAUCCUGCAGGGAAAAGGCCUUGCUCCUCCUUCCCUCUGACCAAAGAAGCAAUACAGACAAAUAGAUGAUAGAUUUGUAGUUGUUAAUGGGACUGAUCUUCCCACGUGGACGGUGUUAAACUGCUCAUUUUGGAAACCUACGUUCGGUCGUACAAGUCACUUCCAUGUGCUGCAAGUAAUCAUUUAUUAAAGGCAUGCGAGUGAGCUGAAAGACCCAACGUAACACCUUCAUAAGUUGGGCAGUUUUCUACCCUAGUAAGGUCCCGCAUCCCACUUCCUUAUAUAUACCUGCAGAUAUGCACAUAGACUACAUAUACACAUAUGUGUGUGUCUAUAGUUCUAUAUUUGAUCUAUGUAAUACAUAUGUACAGACACAUGCAUUUUUAAGAAAGCAGACUUGUGAUUUCAUUGGUGUUUCAAAGGAGAUCUCAGUAAGGAACUUCCUCUACUGAUACAGACGGGCAACUUAUGCUUUUAGGAAGCUGCCUGGGAGCACUAAAAGGUUAAGUGACUUAUCCAAGGUUCUAUAACCCAAGUGUGGCAGGAGUACAGUCUUUCAGACUCUAAGGACAGUCCUCUUUUAGUUUCUUUUUUCAUAGGAAAUUCUGGUUCAAGUUCUUUACAUCAAAGGUAGAUUUAAUAUCUAUGUCCUGAAUCAAUAAAAAUCUUCCCUGAAUUUCAGUCCCUUACCAAGUGGCUGUCAAAGAAAUAUUACCAUUGAUGGCACCUCAUUAAUGUUUUAUUAAUAAAGUUUGGGAUCUGAAAGGA